AUGGCUCCGGCGGCAAAGGUUUCAGCCACGGGCGGCCGCCCAAAAGCUGAUGGCGGGGCUGCACCAAGGUGCAGCGGCAGGCUGGCGGCAAAGCCUUCCAGUCAGCUCUCCAGCUUGGACAAGGCGCUGUUCGUCCUGAUGAAGAAAGAAGGGGCGACCCCUGAUCUGGCGGCUGCUAUGCCUGAAGGGAUCGAGCGCAUCAAGAACAUUUGCCAAAAGCCGCUCCCCUCGGCGUUUGUGGCUGCAAUCUCCUCCCUCAUGGCCGCCUCCAGCCCUGCUAAGAAGGCCAAGGCCCAAGCUAUGGCGCCAGGGCUCGCGGCAUCCUAG
This 327-nucleotide ribosomal RNA is filed under the name Triticum aestivum (bread wheat). RNAcentral describes it as "partial small subunit ribosomal RNA". The record is from RNAcentral. Lineage: Eukaryota; Viridiplantae; Streptophyta; Magnoliopsida; Poales; Poaceae.